RNAcentral lists this transfer RNA (90 nucleotides) under Profundibacterium mesophilum KAUST100406-0324. Its description in RNAcentral is "tRNA-Ser". It matches the Rfam family "tRNA". Rfam says of the family: Transfer RNA (tRNA) molecules are approximately 80 nucleotides in length. Lineage: Bacteria; Pseudomonadati; Pseudomonadota; Alphaproteobacteria; Rhodobacterales; Roseobacteraceae. The record is from RNAcentral. RNAcentral also lists the same sequence under 6 other names.
GGAGGAGUGGCAGAGUGGUCGAUUGCAACGGUCUUGAAAACCGUCGUGCGUGAAAGCGUACCGUGGGUUCGAAUCCCACCUCCUCCGCCA